This 690-nucleotide ribosomal RNA is filed under the name Exiguobacterium sp. Its description in RNAcentral is "bacterial SSU rRNA". It matches the Rfam family "Bacterial small subunit ribosomal RNA", at positions 60 to 722 of the family's 1533-position model. The record is from RNAcentral. Lineage: Bacteria; Bacillati; Bacillota; Bacilli; Caryophanales.
AGUCGAGCGCAGGAAUCGACGGAACCCUUCGGGGGGAAGUCGACGGAAUGAGCGGCGGACGGGUGAGUAACACGUAAAGAACCUGCCCUCAGGUCUGGGAUAACCACGAGAAAUCGGGGCUAAUACCGGAUGGGUCAUCGGACCGCAUGGUCCGAGGAUGAAAGGCGCUUCGGCGUCGCCUGGGGAUGGCUUUGCGGUGCAUUAGCUAGUUGGUGGGGUAAUGGCCCACCAAGGCGACGAUGCAUAGCCGACCUGAGAGGGUGAUCGGCCACACUGGGACUGAGACACGGCCCAGACUCCUACGGGAGGCAGCAGUAGGGAAUCUUCCACAAUGGACGAAAGUCUGAUGGAGCAACGCCGCGUGAACGAUGAAGGCCUUCGGGUCGUAAAGUUCUGUUGUAAGGGAAGAACAAGUGCCGCAGGCAAUGGCGGCACCUUGACGGUACCUUGCGAGAAAGCCACGGCUAACUACGUGCCAGCAGCCGCGGUAAUACGUAGGUGGCAAGCGUUGUCCGGAAUUAUUGGGCGUAAAGCGCGCGCAGGCGGCCUCUUAAGUCUGAUGUGAAAGCCCCCGGCUCAACCGGGGAGGGCCAUUGGAAACUGGGAGGCUUGAGUAUAGGAGAGAAGAGUGGAAUUCCACGUGUAGCGGUGAAAUGCGUAGAGAUGUGGAGGAACACCAGUGGCGAAGGC